RNAcentral lists this ribosomal RNA (253 nucleotides) under uncultured bacterium. RNAcentral describes it as "partial 16S ribosomal RNA". It matches the Rfam family "Bacterial small subunit ribosomal RNA", at positions 524 to 776 of the family's 1533-position model. The record is from RNAcentral.
UACGUAGGGGGCAAGCGUUGUCCGGAAUCAUUGGGCGUAAAGAGCGUGUAGGCGGCCCGAUAAGUCCGCUGUGAAAGUCCAGGGCUCAACCCUGGAAUGCCGGUGGAUACUGUCGGGCUCGAAUCCGGAAGAGGUGAGUGGAAUUCCUGGUGUAGCGGUGAAAUGCGCAGAUAUCAGGAGGAACACCAAUGGCGAAGGCAGCUCACUGGGACGGUAUUGACGCUGAGACGCGAAAGCGUGGGGAGCGAACGGG